UGCAUUACCUUAACUUAAACAACACACCCUUUAUUAUUCCUUGAGAGGCUGCCCAACCAAAAGAUGUGCAAAUGUUGAAGCUUGGGAGCUGCUCCUAUGGCGUCCGAAGCCUCUGCUUCUUCCUGCGCCAUCCAUUGUUUUACUCAACAUCAACUUCUCUUCCUAAUCAUGGUAAACCUUCUUCUUCUUCUUCUUCUUCUUCAUUCUCUACCUCAUUAGCGAAUUUCUUAGUUGAUAAUCUGGGUUUCUCCAAUCAACAAUCUCUCUCCAUUUCCGCUAAGCUCACUAAAUCAUGGAAAGCGGGAGAGACGAGCAAGGCUAUUGAUUUCAAUUUCUUUGAAAAAGUUAAUUCUGUUGUUCAAUUCUUCAAACAAAUUGGGUUUCAGCAAUCUCAUAUUCAGAAAAUCAUUAGUCGUGAACCCCGGGUUUUAGUUUGUAGGGUUCAUAAAACCCUAAAACCUAAAAUUCAGCUUUUUAAUGAUCUGGGUAUGUCUGAGUCUGAUGUAAUUCAAACUAUUGUUAGAAAUCCUAUGAUAUUGCGCCAACGUUGGGGUCCUGCAAUUCAUGCUCUUAAGAAUGUUUUGGGUAGUGAUGAGAAUGUUGUUACAAUUCUCAAGAAAUCAACUCGGAACCUUAACUGCACUGCUAGUUAUUUGAUUCCCAAUGUUGAACUAUUGCAAAAGUAUUGUGGCAUUUCUAGUGAUAAAAUCCAGAAACACAUUCUUCGGCAGCCUAAUUCUUUUAUAGUGAAAACUGAUUUACUUCGAGAUACCUUAAUUAAGGUGGAACUGCAGUUAGGGAUUCCUCGAGACUCUUCAAUGUUCUUGUAUGGUGUCCAUAUUUGGCUUUUCUGUGGUGAGAAGAAUAUCAAGGAUAAAUGUAAAGUAUUUAUGAGUUUUGGAUGGACUCAAUCUGAUGUUAUGAAAUUGAUCAGGGGAAAUCCUAUGUGUUUCACUAGUUCAGAGGCGAGUAUCAAGGAAAGACUUGGCUAUCUGAUGAACCAACUGGGUUACAAGCCUGAUUAUUUAGCAAUGCGGGCUAAUUUCUUCACGUGUAGCAUGAAGAAGAGAUUAUUGCCAAGGCAUCAAGUCUUACAGAUUUUGAAGGAGAAAGGACUUUUAAGGAUGGAUUAUGUUUUUUCUUCUGCUGUUUCCUUGUCUGAGUCUGUGUUCUUGAGAAGGUUUGUUCUGCCAUUUGAGGAAGUCCAUGAAGUUUAUGCUCAACUGACAGGUUCUACUGUGGAGUCGCUCAAUGUAAGAAGAUGCAAAAGCCAAUCUUAAAGGUGUCAUCAAAUUCUAAUGCUGCUUGAUGUUAGUCAGUGCAUAAGUAAAUGAUUACUAUGGUCUGUGGACUGUGAUGGAGUGAUGGACAUUUCUUGGUGGAAGUUGGUGUCGAUUUAUAAUUAAGACGAGGUACGUAUCUCUCAUUCACUGCUCUCUUUUCCCUCCUACCAGUAUUAUAAAUUAUAGCGAAAAACUUUGCACUAGUUGCAGUACUGUGAUGUUACAAGAAAGAGUAGUUUUCUUCUUUAUGCUUUUGGGAUAUUAAAAUGCAAUUCAAUUUUUGAAAGUCAGGUUAGCAAAUUUUGAAACUGCUGACAAUGGCAAUAAUCUUGCAAAACCUAGACCACUUCUGUUCUUUUUUCUAGUGACAACACCUUUGGCUUCAUGCUAGUAUUGAAAUUCUGUGAGCAGAAUUAAUUUAGUAUUUUUGACAAUUGGAUAACAUUGAAGGCUGCAGUACGGUGUCUUCUUCUGCAUAAUGAUUUUGUGACCGAUUCUGUUUUACUUCCUAUCUAUGUCUUAGAGUUUCUGGUAGCACCGUAGCAGCACCUCAAUCAUUAUAAGUAGGCUUUUGAAGACUUAAAAACAAUGUUGGUACCAUAUAGAUGCUGUAUAGUUCUAUUGAUUGCAGAGUUUAUCUUGGGAUUGGUAUUAGUCCCAAGUAACUAUUGUGUAAAUAGAUUCUACUUAUGAUUGUGAAGGAGGUAUGCCUUAUGAUUACGACUAUGGCUUGCUGUCAAAUUGGUGGAAUAUGCUGCCUUUAUGGCUAUCCCAGCCGAUAAAGAUGACGAAAUCAGUUCAUUGACAGGUUGAUAAGAUGGAUCACAACUCUGUUUCUCCUGUUUUUGCUGAUUUGAAAUUUGUUGUGGUAAUAUGAAUUUAGAUGUUUAUUUGCAUAAAUUUUCUGAGAACACAGGAUAAGAUAAUUUAGCUAAAGUUGAGGUGGAAGAUAUUGAUAAGGAAGUAAACUCUACUGUUAUUUGCUACUUCCUUGAGGCUAAUCCUCUAAAUGUGUUUGAAAAAUUACUUUUAAAUGCAUAUGGGUAGAUGGGGAGUUGCAAUCAUUUACUUGUUUCUUGUUGGCAUAAUCAUUUACUUGGUUGCAAAAGGACAAGGGUUCAAGGAUUGGUAGGUCAAGAAAGGAAAUUGACCAAAGAUGGGGAGUUGCAAUCUUGGCAACUUUCUUCUUUCAAGAGAGAAUUAAUAUUUUUUAUGAAUUAAAUCUUCAAUAUAUGUCUCCAUUUGGUUGUUGGGAAUUGUAUGUUAUUGAUGAAGAAAAUAGUUAAAAAGGCUGGUUUUUUAGAUGAUAAAAAUGAUUUUAGUUGUUCAAUUAAUCUGUGUGGCAUUGAGUUUUAUGCUAGUCUUGCUUCUGUUUAUCAAUUGGCUGAAAUGCAUGCUUAAGCUUAAUUAUGCUUCUAAUCAAGAAGCUCCUUGCUAAGGCUGCUAUUUGAGAAAAUUAAGGUAUCAAUUUUGUUAGUUUUGAUAUUAGCCAUUUAGGAGAGUAAAUUAUUUGAAAUGAUGUUAUGUUGGUGUGGAAAAGAGAAGAGAUUCAUUUAAAUCUAUUUAGAAGUUAAUUAUGCCGAAAUAAUUGCUAGGGUCACAAAUGUUGAUAGAAUUAUUUUUUAAUUGGUGUGAUGUUUUAAACAUUUUUAUUUAAUUUAUUUAUUAUUUUAGAUUUUUAUUUAACCUGAAGCUUUCCAUUUUCCCCUAGUAUUUUUUGUUGCUUAGCUUAAUUUUGUGAAAUUGAUGAAUUUGGGGCUUCUCUAUUGUAUUAUAUUGUUGUUUAGCCUGAAGCUUUCUGUUUUCCCUACGAUUCCUCUAAUAAUUAACCUGAAGCUUUCUGUUUUUCCCAUAAGAUUUAUGUAGGAGAUUGAAGUAGGAAUGUGGCAAAGAAAGUAUCUGUUUGGGAACGCAACACAUUCUGGAAAAGAGGGAAGGUGUGAUCAAUGUGCUCGAUAGGAUCAGUAUACGUGUUUGUGUUGUCUAAAGGUGUGCUCAAUGUGCUUGAUAUGUUCCUUUCUGCUGUCUAGAUACCAAUUGGGUUGCAUCAUCAAGAUAUGAAAGUGUAUUACAAAGAUGAGGAAAGAGAUUCAAAGGAUUUUAUUGGAAAUUUUUAGUGUGAAAGAUAAAUUGAAAAUCGUACUGGUGGAGGAUUCGCUGAAGACAGGAAAAAAAGUACGUUGAAAUGAGGUAGAAUUCCAAGAUGGAGAAAGCAGCAAAGUCUAUUUCAAAGAUCAGUUUGCAUGCAGACGGAGUUGGUGUUCAAAUAAUUAUAUUAAUUUUUGUGUUUGAUUUCUUGAAAUCAUUUAAAGUUGAGAGAUUAGGAAGUAUGAUUGUCUGACAAAUUAGCUGAAUUUUGGGAGUUAUUAUGUUUGAAUCAGAAGUGUUAUAGAGGAUGUUUGUAUGACCUCUAAACUGAGGUAAUUGGUGAUAUAUAUCUAUAUGUUUUUAAUUUGAAGUUGUAAUUGACUGGUAUCAGCUCUUGAAUCAGUAAUCUUGAAAUGGGAAAGAGUAGCAGAGAGUCAGAGAAUGAUGUUGUAAA
RNA transcript from Chenopodium quinoa (quinoa), 3825 nucleotides. It is a transcript of the gene named transcription termination factor MTERF9, chloroplastic-like, with no coding region annotated. The transcript is spliced from 3 exons. Lineage: Eukaryota; Viridiplantae; Streptophyta; Magnoliopsida; Caryophyllales; Amaranthaceae. The record is from RefSeq and is a predicted model, not a curated record.